Molecule: long non-coding RNA, 267 nt
Filed under: Helianthus annuus (common sunflower)
Lineage: Eukaryota; Viridiplantae; Streptophyta; Magnoliopsida; Asterales; Asteraceae
Description: hypothetical non coding rna
Source: RNAcentral
AUGAUGUACUGGAGCAAAUGGAGCAAAAACGAGUAAGAAAUAAAUAAUCAGCCAGUUGAGCAGAGUAGAUCGCCAGUGACCGAAGUAAAAGUGCCGCUAUUUUCUGUAAGUGGUCCGAGACCACUAUCUCUAAUAAAAAAAAUCACUUUGGACUAAAUAUUGUGGAUUUGUCAAGAACAAAAGGGGCCGUGAUAAAACAUGCAAGUCUAGCAACUUUUGCAGGAGGCACAUUCGAGAAUGAAGAAGCAAAUUAUGACUCAAGUGGUA